This 510-nucleotide ribosomal RNA is filed under the name uncultured Bacillus sp. RNAcentral's name for it is "bacterial SSU rRNA". It matches the Rfam family "Bacterial small subunit ribosomal RNA", at positions 118 to 612 of the family's 1533-position model. The record is from RNAcentral. Lineage: Bacteria; Bacillati; Bacillota; Bacilli; Caryophanales; Bacillaceae.
UGGGUAACCUGCCUGUAAGACUGGGAUAACUCCGGGAAACCGGGGCUAAUACCGGAUGGUUGUUUGAACCGCAUGGUUCAAACAUAAAAGGUGGCUUCGGCUACCACUUACAGAUGGGCCCGCGGCGCAUUAGCUAGUUGGUGAGGUAACGGCUCACCAAGGCGACGAUGCGUAGCCGACCUGAGAGGGUGAUCGGCCACACUGGGACUGAGACACGGCCCAGACUCCUACGGGAGGCAGCAGUAGGGAAUCUUCCGCAAUGGACGAAAGUCUGACGGAGCAACGCCGCGUGAGCGAGGAAGGUCUUCGGAUUGUAAAGCUCUGUUGUUAGGGAAGAACAAGUUCCGUUCGAAGAGGGCGGUACCGUGACGGUACCUAACGAGAAAGCCACGGCUAACUACGUGCCAGCAGCCGCGGUAAUACGUAGGUGGCAAGCGUUGUCCGGAAUUAUUGGGCGUAAAGCGCGCGCAGGCGGUUCCUUAAGUCUGAGUGUGAAAGCCCACGGCUCAA